This 2901-nucleotide ribosomal RNA is filed under the name Escherichia coli. RNAcentral's name for it is "bacterial LSU rRNA". It matches the Rfam family "Bacterial large subunit ribosomal RNA". Lineage: Bacteria; Pseudomonadati; Pseudomonadota; Gammaproteobacteria; Enterobacterales; Enterobacteriaceae. The record is from RNAcentral.
UUAAGCGACUAAGCGUACACGGUGGAUGCCCUGGCAGUCAGAGGCGAUGAAGGACGUGCUAAUCUGCGAUAAGCGUCGGUAAGGUGAUAUGAACCGUUAUAACCGGCGAUUUCCGAAUGGGGAAACCCAGUGUGUUUCGACACACUAUCAUUAACUGAAUCCAUAGGUUAAUGAGGCGAACCGGGGGAACUGAAACAUCUAAGUACCCCGAGGAAAAGAAAUCAACCGAGAUUCCCCCAGUAGCGGCGAGCGAACGGGGAGCAGCCCAGAGCCUGAAUCAGUGUGUGUGUUAGUGGAAGCGUCUGGAAAGGCGCGCGAUACAGGGUGACAGCCCCGUACACAAAAAUGCACAUGCUGUGAGCUCGAUGAGUAGGGCGGGACACGUGGUAUCCUGUCUGAAUAUGGGGGGACCAUCCUCCAAGGCUAAAUACUCCUGACUGACCGAUAGUGAACCAGUACCGUGAGGGAAAGGCGAAAAGAACCCCGGCGAGGGGAGUGAAAAAGAACCUGAAACCGUGUACGUACAAGCAGUGGGAGCACGCUUAGGCGUGUGACUGCGUACCUUUUGUAUAAUGGGUCAGCGACUUAUAUUCUGUAGCAAGGUUAACCGAAUAGGGGAGCCGAAGGGAAACCGAGUCUUAACUGGGCGUUAAGUUGCAGGGUAUAGACCCGAAACCCGGUGAUCUAGCCAUGGGCAGGUUGAAGGUUGGGUAACACUAACUGGAGGACCGAACCGACUAAUGUUGAAAAAUUAGCGGAUGACUUGUGGCUGGGGGUGAAAGGCCAAUCAAACCGGGAGAUAGCUGGUUCUCCCCGAAAGCUAUUUAGGUAGCGCCUCGUGAAUUCAUCUCCGGGGGUAGAGCACUGUUUCGGCAAGGGGGUCAUCCCGACUUACCAACCCGAUGCAAACUGCGAAUACCGGAGAAUGUUAUCACGGGAGACACACGGCGGGUGCUAACGUCCGUCGUGAAGAGGGAAACAACCCAGACCGCCAGCUAAGGUCCCAAAGUCAUGGUUAAGUGGGAAACGAUGUGGGAAGGCCCAGACAGCCAGGAUGUUGGCUUAGAAGCAGCCAUCAUUUAAAGAAAGCGUAAUAGCUCACUGGUCGAGUCGGCCUGCGCGGAAGAUGUAACGGGGCUAAACCAUGCACCGAAGCUGCGGCAGCGACACUAUGUGUUGUUGGGUAGGGGAGCGUUCUGUAAGCCUGUGAAGGUGUGCUGUGAGGCAUGCUGGAGGUAUCAGAAGUGCGAAUGCUGACAUAAGUAACGAUAAAGCGGGUGAAAAGCCCGCUCGCCGGAAGACCAAGGGUUCCUGUCCAACGUUAAUCGGGGCAGGGUGAGUCGACCCCUAAGGCGAGGCCGAAAGGCGUAGUCGAUGGGAAACAGGUUAAUAUUCCUGUACUUGGUGUUACUGCGAAGGGGGGACGGAGAAGGCUAUGUUGGCCGGGCGACGGUUGUCCCGGUUUAAGCGUGUAGGCUGGUUUUCCAGGCAAAUCCGGAAAAUCAAGGCUGAGGCGUGAUGACGAAGCACUACGGUGCUGAAGCAACAAAUGCCCUGCUUCCAGGAAAAGCCUCUAAGCAUCAGGUAACAUCAAAUCGUACCCCAAACCGACACAGGUGGUCAGGUAGAGAAUACCAAGGCGCUUGAGAGAACUCGGGUGAAGGAACUAGGCAAAAUGGUGCCGUAACUUCGGGAGAAGGCACGCUGAUAUGUAGGUGAAGUCCCUUGCGGAUGGAGCUGAAAUCAGUCGAAGAUACCAGCUGGCUGCAACUGUUUAUUAAAAACACAGCACUGUGCAAACACGAAAGUGGACGUAUACGGUGUGACGCCUGCCCGGUGCCGGAAGGUUAAUUGAUGGGGUCAGCGCAAGCGAAGCUCUUGAUCGAAGCCCCGGUAAACGGCGGCCGUAACUAUAACGGUCCUAAGGUAGCGAAAUUCCUUGUCGGGUAAGUUCCGACCUGCACGAAUGGCGUAAUGAUGGCCAGGCUGUCUCCACCCGAGACUCAGUGAAAUUGAACUCGCUGUGAAGAUGCAGUGUACCCGCGGCAAGACGGAAAGACCCCGUGAACCUUUACUAUAGCUUGACACUGAACAUUGAGCCUUGAUGUGUAGGAUAGGUGGGAGGCUUAGAAGUGUGGACGCCAGUCUGCAUGGAGCCGACCUUGAAAUACCACCCUUUAAUGUUUGAUGUUCUAACGUUGACCCGUAAUCCGGGUUGCGGACAGUGUCUGGUGGGUAGUUUGACUGGGGCGGUCUCCUCCUAAAGAGUAACGGAGGAGCACGAAGGUUGGCUAAUCCUGGUCGGACAUCAGGAGGUUAGUGCAAUGGCAUAAGCCAGCUUGACUGCGAGCGUGACGGCGCGAGCAGGUGCGAAAGCAGGUCAUAGUGAUCCGGUGGUUCUGAAUGGAAGGGCCAUCGCUCAACGGAUAAAAGGUACUCCGGGGAUAACAGGCUGAUACCGCCCAAGAGUUCAUAUCGACGGCGGUGUUUGGCACCUCGAUGUCGGCUCAUCACAUCCUGGGGCUGAAGUAGGUCCCAAGGGUAUGGCUGUUCGCCAUUUAAAGUGGUACGCGAGCUGGGUUUAGAACGUCGUGAGACAGUUCGGUCCCUAUCUGCCGUGGGCGCUGGAGAACUGAGGGGGGCUGCUCCUAGUACGAGAGGACCGGAGUGGACGCAUCACUGGUGUUCGGGUUGUCAUGCCAAUGGCACUGCCCGGUAGCUAAAUGCGGAAGAGAUAAGUGCUGAAAGCAUCUAAGCACGAAACUUGCCCCGAGAUGAGUUCUCCCUGACUCCUUGAGAGUCCUGAAGGAACGUUGAAGACGACGACGUUGAUAGGCCGGGUGUGUAAGCGCAGCGAUGCGUUGAGCUAACCGGUACUAAUGAACCGUGAGGCUUAACCUU